Molecule: long non-coding RNA, 1172 nt
Filed under: Cervus hanglu yarkandensis (Yarkand deer)
Lineage: Eukaryota; Metazoa; Chordata; Mammalia; Artiodactyla; Cervidae
Description: lncRNA (ENSCHYG00000006435.1)
Source: RNAcentral
AGGCUCCUUGCGGGCCAGCCCGGCGGAUCGUGGAGAGGAGGAGCUGGCAGGGCUGAGUUGGCGGCGGGGCAAAGAGGGUUCACUUACUGGCGGCCGCGAGGGCGCGGGUGGGCCGGAGCUCACUGGGACGACCCCAGGGCAGCGGCGGCUGAGCGGGAGCCGGAGCCGGAGCGGCGCGGGCGGCGGCGCAUCGAUGCGCUGCGGGCUCGAUUGCGUCUCCCUGGGCCAGCUAUUGGGCCGGGAAUGGGGCGGCAGCGGCGGGGCCGGCUCCGGGCGUUGCCGGUCGGCGGUGGCGGGAGUGCGGGGGCGGUCGCCAGGCCCACCGUCCCUUAGGCGGUGCUGCUUCUAGGCGCGCCGCUGGGGCCCAGGGAGUCCCCUGUGCGCCGCGUGCGAGAGUCCGGGCGAGGGCCGAAGCCCCGCGCCCUGGGACUGACUGCCUGAGCGCUCUGGGAGCUGCAAACCCCGGCCUUCUUCCGUCUUUCCCAACCCGCCCCCCCCGCCUUAUGUUUCUUUUUUAGUCUCUUUCUCCCUCUUCUUCUGCCCCCUCUUCUCUUUAUUUUUUCCUUGUGAUUGUUUUUUUUUUUUUUUUUUUUUUUGCAAGUUUGUUUUAAAAGUUCACAGGCAUACUUUCUUUUCUUUUAGACCUGGAGACCUCGAUCUCACCCUGACGGUAAGAUCAAAAGUCUCCGCUCGCCCCCAGCCUGCGAGCUUGGGCUCGGUCCAGACGCCUCCCUGAAUGCAGAUGCGCUGCCGCCGUCCUCGGGGGCUAUAAAGCCGCCUCCUGCGCCUUGGCGUGCGCAGGAGCGCACCGAGUUGCGGGAUGCGGACCCCGGGCGGUUGCGGGGAGUUGGAGUCUAGCUGCGGCUGGGCCCCGGGCUGGCCUCGUGCGGCAGACUCCGGGGCGGGCGCGUGGCGCGGAACUGGUGCCUGCGGCCGCAGAGGCCAAAGCAACUGUCCCUCCAGGCCCGGGAGACGCGGGCGUGGGGCGUGAAACGCUUCUUGCGAAGGAGAAAACGCCAGAUUCCUUACCACUGAGUCACCAGAGAAGCCCUCGGGUCCACUACCUGCAUUGUUAUGAGCUCCAUCGGAAACUGAUGACUCAGCGGGCAGCCUGCAGCAUCCCUGGUGGAUCCUGUUUGAAGUCAUGUUUAUGGAACAGAAUACCUGCAUAG